AACCCCAACCUGCUCACAUGGGUUCGUUUCAACCACAUCAAGGGUUCAAUGUCGUACAAAGAUAACAUCCUCGCGAUAAGCUCCAUCGAGCCAUUCAUGUUGGGAUUGAAGGAACGAAGAACGGUGAGGGUGAAGAUAUCGACGAUGGGGUUGGGGGAAGAGGAUCGUGAUCAUCAGCUGGUGGUGAAGAAGAGGGUUUUGGAUGAGAUGAUGAGCAAGAGACGUGAGGAUGGAGCUGUGCAUUUUAGCAUGCAAAUGUUUGUUUGGGCCACGUAUAGGACUGGUUUGUGGGGGACACAACAAGAUGUUGUGAUGAGCCCUCAGUGUUUGGAUUUGAAGGUUGGGUUCUCGCGUGGAAUUGGGUUCGGGAGUGGGAUUAGUGGAGGGCCUAUGAUGUGUUCUGUUCCUAUAUUAAUUAAUUGACCAAAUUAGACUUUUUCUUUCUUUUUUCAUGUAGAGGUUUUUAGUUUUAGAUUGUUAAUUUGAUCGAUGUAGGAGAAUCAAAAUCGAACCUGUAAAUUAAGAACAAAGAAAUGAAUUGUUUUACGCAUCAAAAUUGAAGGUGAAUAUGAACGUGAUGUUAUGAAAUUCUUUGAUGAUCUUUGUCUGGACUUGGAUAAAUAAAAAAGUGUAUACUAGUGAUUUAUCUUAUGAAUUUGUACUUAACUUUUGAUUUGCCCUAUCUUUUUUUUUAAAGAAAAUUAAGGAUAUAAACUUUUUUUUUCCGUCAAUUUCUCCCUUACCGUCUAAAUCCACAACAUUUCAUCUAAUUUGUCGUUAAAUAUGAGGGCAAAUUGGUCAUGUUGUACUUCUAAAAUAAAAUAAUUUGAACUUUGAAAUAAUAAUAAAUAAUGAUAGGAAAAAAAAAGGUUUUUUUUUUUUUUUUUUUUUUAAGAGUAGAGAAAAUGUCAUCCUCAGACUUCCUAUUAGCCUCUGAAUUUCUGCUUACCAACUCCACUUCCUAUAAGCUUCAUACCAACCCCUUUCUUCCCCAAAAUUGAACACAUCCCAUACAACAACACCAAAACCUCCACCAUAUAUUUGAACAAAAUCCCCCAUAUGUACUUAUUUGAACACACACAAAAAACCCAGAUCCAUUUGAUCAAAAAUCGCACAAGGGGCAGAGGGGUUGUGGUGAGGUGGGUGAUUUUGUGGUGUCAGGGAUGGACCUGGGGUUUGGGGGAAGAGAGAGAGAGUGUGUGAUGGUUGUGGGGUGGUGGCUGUGGGAGGGUGAGUUGUUGAGAGAGAGAUGGAGAUUGCGAUGGAUAAAGGGGUGGUCGUGGGUUUAAGGGUGUGUUGUGAAAAGGAAGGCAGCGACGGUGGGAAGGGGGGAUGGGUUGCGAAUUAGUCUUGGGGUGAGUUGCAGGUGGGAAAUGGGUAGUCAGGUUGGGGAAGAAAAAGAGAGAAGGGAGGGGGGUUCUGUGGGUAGGAUAGGUUUUUGUUUUGUUCCUUUUUUUUAUAAUUUUUUCUAAAAAUAUAAAUUUUAUUUUAAUAAUUUAACUGAAAAUUGGAUGCAAUGUUGAUGAUUUAGACGGUAGGGAGAAAAUUGGAGAAAAAAAAAUUUUAUAUUUUUAAUUUUCUAAAAAAAAAAUGAUAGGGGGUCAAUUGAAACCAAGGUAUAAGUCAAGGGACAAAUCACUAGUAUACCAUAAAUAUUUCACUACAUAAAUGAAAUAAACAGAAGAUUUCUAGAAUUUACACGUGCUCUUACAGAAAUUUCAUUAAGUAUUUGGUGUGCAAAUGAAUUUUUAUUAAUUUACUAGAGUCACCCUGAAAAUAAAAUAAUUAUCAGAAUAUAACUCAAAUUUAAAUCUCCUUUUUUUCUAUUAAAAACAACUAAUCCUCCUCGUAAAAAUAUUUACUCUCCUCAUUGUUUUUCGGUUGGAUCCUCCACUUACAUUAUAAUUGUAAUUUAUGCUAAUAGGGUCUAGUUCAGUUAAAAAAUACUUUGAUUUGCAAACUAUUGGUCUCAAGUUUGAAUCAUAUAGCACCGUGAUAGGUCUAUAUGAGAAACCCCACUCUCUAUAGUUUGGACAAAAAUUAUUGAUAUUUGAUCUAUCCUUUCAGAUGUACUUGACUCUUUCCAAACUAUUUGCACUUGUGAAAGGACACGAACUGCAAACAUCACUUCGUUUUACCAAAGCCAAAAAACGUCUUCAACCACCACGCGUAUAUAUCCUUCAAAACAAAUAAAAUAAUUGCCCUGCAAACGCAACUUGAUUUUAACCGCUGCCAUCUUCCCUCAUUUGUUCCUCUCUUCUCCCUCAUCAUCUCCACCUUUCUCCCAUCCAUUAUAAAUCCUUAAAUUCAGUAACUUAUAAUUAGUACUGGGAAUUUUGCUUCACAUAUUGGAUUGAUUCAAGACCAAGGAAACUUAGCAUCACAAGGUACGGCUUUCUUUCUCUAUCUUUAAAUUGUUAUAAACUUCGUCUGGGUAAAAUUAAGUUGUCAAAAUCAGUAAUUUGGUGAACGGUUAUAAAAUCCAAGUCUUGCAAAUUGUCUCUUUGAUUUGUCCUCUUGAAGCUUCUUAUUUGAUUAAUUAUACCAAGUGAGUAAUCUAUUUGGAGAGUGUCUUACAAGUAUGUUUGUAGCAACAAAUACCCUGCAAUACUGCAUUUAAGAACAAACUACCUACUGCCAACGGGGUCUAGCCUAGUGGUAAAGGGCCUUGACUUGCAGAUCAGAGGUUUCAGGUUCAAAUCUCACGGCAUCAUAGUAGUGUGUGUGUGAGAAAUCCCCCACCCCUGUAGUUUAGACCAUCACUUGUACUAAAAAAAAAAAAAAACUAUUGAACAAACUACCUACUACAUUUUAUUUCUAAUUUCUUGUUAGACUUUUUAUAGCUUUGGCCGAUCACUCUUUUUUUUUUCUUUUUUUUUUGGUUGUGAAAUUAGUAAAAUAGUAUUUUUAAAUUGAGGAAUUAACAAUUUUAAUUCGGUCUAUAGAUUAUAUUAAAAAAAAUGAUGUUCUAACAUGUUAUAUAUUGCUAGACUACGAACCACGAGUAUUCUCUUUCACUGAAUAAUCGGUGAAAAUUUCCCUAACAUAUCCAUCUUGAACUUUGUAUUCUCUCUUUCAGGAAGAGUUAUGCAUGGCUUCUUUGUGGUGCAAAAAGUCUCCAGAUUGCAGUAAAAUUCGUGGAUACAUCCUGCUUUUUGUUAUAGUGGUGAGUCUAGCAACAGUCAUCGGAUUUUCUCUCUGGUUCUUAGGCAACUAUGUGGAUUCAAAGUCCGGCCCAGGAACAGACCCCCUUGUGCUUCGUUUGGAUGCAUUUUCUCUAUCGAAUUUCGAGGUUUCGAAUUCAUCAUUCUCAGCUGAAUGGGAGGCCAAGUUGACAUUUGGGAACCAAAACGGUGGCCUAACUGUUACCCUCAACCCCUUUGAGAGUUAUGUGUUCUAUAAAGAACGUGAGGCUCUAUCAUGUGCUUCUGUGGAUGCAAUGUUGCAUGUUCCUCCAAGGAAACAGAAAACUCUGCAGAUCAAAUUUGAUCCGACAAGUUGCGGAGGAGAACAGCCGUAUGUGGAGGAUCGAGUGAUGAAGGAGUUGAGUGAAGAUCGAAAGAGUGGUCACCUUAGCUUUAGUUUGAAAAUGCGCAUAGAUGCUUCUUAUAGUAUGAGGGAGCUUUUGGGAAUGGGAACCCAAGUGACUUUAAAUCCUAACUGUUCAGGGUUGAAGGUUCAGUUUGAGGGUGCAAAAGGGGAGGGAAAGAUAAAUGGGGGCCGCAAGUGCACCAUUCCAUUACCUAAAUGAUCAUGCAAUUCUUACCGUAGGUAAGGGCCGGCUCUGAAAUUUUAAGGGAUUAUAGCAGGCGAAGAUAAGCUCAUGAAAUAGGAUUAAUGUAAAUUUCGUAUAGAUAAGUUGUUUAUUUCAAAAAAAUUGAGUCCUUUUUACUUGGGCCAGAGCACUUGAAAAAAGUAGGCAAAGCCCAACUUGUGAGAAAUUCUUGUGAUUUAAAAGUAGCAGGUUUUGCUAUAUAAGGAAUUAUUAACUCAACAAGUAACGGAUGUCACGUAAAAGGAAAUCAAAUCAAUGUGAUUUAAUUUUCUGGUUUUCUUCUCAUUUUAAAUUUUAAGCACCCUUGCAUUAAAUCAUUGAGUUUAUGCCAAAGGAUGCCAAUUAGCAUUAACACUGAGCUUAUCCAUUUUUGACCUCCAUGAAUUAAUGACAUAAAUUUUUUGAACCAAAAUGUGCACUGAUUCUCUGAAUUUGACUGCCAUUUCAAUAUUAGUUUUUCCCAAUACUCUCCCAUUCACACCUUAACUCAUUGCAGAAAAACAAAAAUGGGCCCUUUGUGGUCUCGUCGCCACAAGGCACUGGCGGAAGAAAUGUCCUUGAAAUUGGCUGCUGCUACAAUCCUCAUCACAUUACUUGCAUUUGUCACCACCGUAUGCUUGUCGUUGAACGGCGGCGUUCGAACAUAUCCCAUUGCCAUUGCUCAGCACUCUUUCUCUGUCUCAAACACAACGAAACUCGUCUCUGAACUGCAGAGCGCUGUUUGGGAUGCAGAGUUGAAGUUCAGCCAGAACAGUGAUCUGCAAGUUCACAUCAAACACUUUCAGGGCUUCGUGUACUACCCGAAAUUCGAACCGCUGUGGUGUGCCUCACUGAAGCCAGUGGACGUUGAGUUCAGGAGCCCAAAUGGGCUGCACAUAAGAUUUGAUAUGAGAGAGUGUGGGGAGGAAGGGCUCGGGGUUUCGACAGAGGAAGCUCUGAAGGAGGUUCGUUUGGAAAUGAAAAUGGACCUGGUUGUGCCUUACCAGUUUGGAAAGACCAGAAUUUGGGCCUGGCUUUGGGGAUUGAGUGUUGAAGAAUCUUGUUCUGAGUUGAGAGUUGAAUUUGUGUCUUCGGUUGGAGAGGGGAAACUGAUUGGUGAGGGAGGAUGGUGCUUUGUUCCAUUGCCUGAGUAAUUUUGAGUUAUGAUCAACUCAUGCCAAUCUAAAUAAUCUUUGUUUUUGCUUCCCCUUUUAUUUAAUUUUGUUUUGUUUCUCCUCUAAAUUAUUACCUCACAGAAUUAGGCAUCAAGCAGACAGACACAAAGAAGAGAGUUUGAGUCUCCACUCUCCUCUCUUUUUUUUUUAAUACGCAGAAAAGAAAAAUAUGAAACUGACAGGAUCACCCUCCAUUCAUACUGAAGGAGACGAGGUUACGUGACUUUGCAGUUUUCAUAGUGAAGUUUGAAAAGGGUCAAAUAAUGCCAAGAUUUUGUCACUUUCUUCGUUUCAAUGUUAAAUGUCCUCGAUUAUCACAAUCAUGAUUCAUCACGCCUCGUUUACUUCUUUAGCUUUUAUUUCCAUGUUCGAUUAAUUUCUUAAUCCCUUCAUUUUCUCCCUUGAUUGUUUCCUUUAAAUAUUCUAGUUUACCAUUUUUAGUAUAAUUCUCUUGUAUUUUUAGUUUUCCGUGUUGGAUUAAUUUCUUGUAUAAAUACUGAAUUCUGCUCCCAGUAGCGCUAUGGGCACCAACUUUUUUUAUCAAUUUUUUGAUACCAACUUAUGUAGCAACUGACAUGGCAAUUCAAGUCAUUUGCCACCUCAUCUAUUUUAUUUGAAUAAUUUAAAUUAAUGCACAUAAUCUAUUUUAAAUUAAUUUAUUUAACUUUUAUAUAUUUAUCUCUUCUCAAGUCAUCUCCAUCAUCCAUUCCCAGCCAACAGCUCCUCCAUCGUAGCACCGCCACGAUCAUGAUGAUAGCAAAUUGAUGGUUACGUUUAUAGAUGAUAAGAUGAUGCUCAUCUCUGAUUUUGGGUUUUGGACAUUUAUGGUUCCUGGAUUUGGUUGAGAGUAUGGCGAGGAAGAAGAAUCAAAGGAGAGUAAAGGCAUGAGCAUAUAUAUAUAUAUAUAUAUAUAUAUAUAUAUAUAUAGUUCUGAUCUUUUGGACCACAGGAGUCCAAGAAAUUUGUGGUCACUCACCGUUGGAUGUAAAUUCAACGGUUCACUCACUCUUGCACUCAUUUUAAAAAACUUUUUUCAACCAUUGGAUUAAUAUCCAACGGUAGAUAACCACAAUCUCUUAGACUCCUGUGGUCCAAGAAAUCAUCGGGACUAUAUAUAUAUAUAUAUAUAUAUAUAUGAAUAGAGUUGGUGAAUCAUAGGAUCUUAUAUGCAGUCUCACACCGAUCACAUCCCAUAUAUUUGGUUUUUCUUUGGAUGAUAAUCACUGGUUUUCUUUGAACUUGGCUGGAAAACUAUUAUUGCUUUGUUGAUUAUUAAUAUUAUUGUAAAUUCUACAAAACAACUAAUUACGUUGAUACUAUGAUUGGUAUGAAAACAUUGAGGAUUUAACAAAUCAGUUAAGAGAGGUGUGAUGAGAGCUCUUCAAUGGAAGGAAUGAUUAUUGAGUUUCUAGGGCUUUUUUGGGGUUGGGGAAGGGUUCACCGUUGAACCAAAACUUAUGGGUAUUUUUCUUUCUUUUUAUUUUGUUGGACAAUUUCUCUUUCUUUUCUUUUUUUUCUUUUUUCUUUGUUCAGGAACAAAAUGUGUAAUUAAAAAAAAUGACAUGGCAAAUGACAAGGAUUGCAAUCUCAUGUACUACAUCUAUUGGAGAAAUUAUAGAAUGCUAUUGUAUUACCAUGUCAGCUAAUUAUACUUCCAUUCAAAAUAUGUCAUACGUCAUUUUAAAAAAAGUAUAAUUUUUUGUUUUACAGCUGGACUUUUGCCCUCUAGAAUAAUAUUUGAAAAAACAAAAAAACCAAAGACGCCGGAAACCAACUCCCACGACAACUCAAAUCUUCCUACCUUGCACUACCAACCACCCAACCCAAUCGCCCAAGGGUUUUGAUUGGCCACCUGGUUAAUCUAAAACAAGAACCACAUAAAGAAAUAACUGGAAAUAACAAUAACUGAUUAUUCCCUUUGUGGUUUCUGUACAAAUGAUUAUCAACAAACCAAAAAAAUAAAAUAACCAGCACACUAUAGAAACCUGUCGAGUCCCUAAACGAGCUUCAUAAUCCAUGGACUAUUGGGUUGGUGGAAGAAGUGCGAGGAUGGGGAUUGGGUUGUGGUGGGAGGUGGUUUCGAGUGGCUUCUUUGGGUUUUUCCUUUUCUAAAUUUUUUUAAUAAAAAAGUCUUAUUCUACAGUUAAAAGAAAGUAUUAAAUUCAGCUGUAAAAAAAAUUAUAAUUUUUUAAAAAAACAUGAUAUAUAGCAUAUUUUGAAUGAAAGUACCGCUAGCUGACGUGAUAGUACAGUAUCAUUCUAUAAUUCUCCAUGUGUUGGUAUCAAUUAAUUGGUAAACAAGUUAGUGCCCGUAGCAUUAUUGUUUUGCUCCUUUCAAUUAGGGAUGAGCAUUGGUGGAUCGAACAGGUUUGGACGUUACACAUCAUGUGAAUCGGAUUUAUAACCACCGAUACAUCGACAAGUCCAACUCAGUUGAUUUGCGGGUUGGGUCAGGCAGGCACCGCAAGUUGGAGGAAGGUGAAACUUGCACAGAGCCAAAUAGAUGAAGCCUUGAAGAUGGAACUUUGAACUUGGUUGGUAGGUGGCUAUGGCGGGGCGACAACUAUAUCAAGAGACAAUUUCAUAUUUGGGAGUGAGGGAAUGAGGGCCACGUCAUGUUCAUGUAUGUAACUUGCAAAAAAAUUGUACAAUUUUCCAUGGGAAAAUUAUGCUCUCCCCACGUAGCUUCUCCUCUAAUAGUUGAGGAUGAAGGAGAUAAGCAAUCAGACAAUGGGAAAAUUUUCAAGUAUGGUGUUUCGGGCAGAGGCACUCAGAAAACACACCUAAGUAUUCCCCUAAAUAAACUCAUGCUUGCAACACAUGAUCUUUAAUGUGUGCCAUUGUUCGUGGCCAUGAAGAUUGACAUGGGGGUGCUAAUAUGCCAAUUUUGCUAGCUAUAAUCCUUUUGUCUUCAUCACUUAUUUCCUUAACAUAGAUUACAACUCCUAAUUAAUUACCUUGUCCUACGCUCUUUCCGCGGCUUUUCACAGCACACCCACCUAUUUUUACACUCUCAUUUCCUUCAAUAAUUAAUCUCCCUCCAAUACACAUUUUAAUCCCCUACCCCAAAAACUCCCUCCUUCUCUCUCUCUCUCUCUCUCUCUCUCUCUCUCUCUCUCUCUCUCUCUCUCUCUCUCCCGGAAGAUUCCUGAGAGAGAGAACGAACAUCCCGUAUAUAUAAUUAAUAGCAGCACAUAUGGCUUCCACAACCGAAACUAAUCAACCCCGCUCCUCCGACCAACCCGCAACACAAUCAUCAGAAGCCCACCAACCUCGAGCCCCCAUUGACCCCUACCCCCCGCCCGCCGGGGGCACCUAUCCGCCAUCCAACAUGAGCUACGCGCACCCACAAGGAUACCCCACCGUAGCGCCCCCCUACCACGGGUACCACCCGAGCGCCUACAACCCUUAUUACGGGGACCCCUACUACACCACCACCUCCUACAACCAAGCUGACGAGGCCGCCAGCAGCUGCUUCCGGUGCUUCUGCAUCAUCAUGUUCCUCCUCGUCAUCUUCACCCUCCUUGCCAGCAUCGUCAUGUUUGUCGUGGUCCGCCCGGAAACCCCGGCCUUCAAGGUCGAGUCCUUUAGCGUCUCCAACUUCAACCUCGUCCCAGGGAGCAAAGUGCUCUCCGGGAAAUGGGAGGCCUCCAUCUACGUGGACAACCCCAGCUACAGGAUGAAGUUGGAGAUAGACAGGUGGGAGACCUCCCUGUACCACAAGGACAACUAUCUCGCGAUGGGCUCCGUCAUGCACUCCAUGAAUCUCGAAUCUCGGUCAAAAGGCACGAUGCACAUGAAGAUGGAGACGUACAAUACAACGGCGAGCAGCGCGGUAGAGGACAUGGAGAAGGAGCAGAAGGAGGGCGGGAACGUGAGCUUCAAUUUGAGGUUGACGCUUUCGUACGACAUGAAAGCCAGUGGUUUUUUGUAUAAUCACUAUAGUAACUACAGAAGUGGGACCCUCCGGGUGAAAUGCUCGGAUUUGAAGGUGCCGCUGCCGGCGGGGUCAAAUACUGGCAGCAUGCCCAGUGGGAGCUCGAAGGCAUGCGAUAUCUCCGAUGGUUUCUGAUUAUUUAGUCAUAGACGAGAAAUGGGUCGGAUAUUUUUUGUAUGGUCUCUCGGUCUCAUUUACUUUCUUCCCAUGUCUCCUCCAUAUGUGGGAAUUGUGUAUUUGGCUAACUUAUAUUAGACGAAGUCAUAUGUUCAUAAUUUUAGAAACCCUUAAAUCUGUUAAUUUUAUUGUAGAAAAUUCUUUAGACUAUUGUUUCUAGGAUUUCUUGUGCUUUGUUUAAUUUUAAUUUUGUUAUAACUAUAUAGUGACACAUAAUGACUAACUCGGGAUCUGACCGUAUUUCUCUUUUCAGUAUUAAAAGGCAUUAGUCAUAUUAUUUCAUGUUUGUAUCGAAUUACACAAUACUAACCGAAGUUAUAGAAGAUUCUUAAUCCAUUCAUUAAUCAUGUAUGGUUAACUAAAUGCAAAAUUUCUCAACUUUAACAUAAGUUACUCAUUCUUUGAUAAAAACAUAUAUAUAGUUUAUAUUCAAUUGAAUAUGUUUGGAUAAAUUUUAGCUUUCGUUAUUGACCAAUGAUAUGGAGAACACUGCACAAUGUGAUCCGCGAUCGUCCCUUCAUGUCUAUUGUUUUUGAGGCACUUUGCAAAUAAGUCUCUCCAAAUUCUAUUUCAUAAUCAAAUUUGAACUAAAAAAAUAAACCUUUAGACCCGACUUUUAUUGAAUCUAAUAAUACCAAUUGAUAGGUCAACAGCGUUUAGCUCACUGAAAAAGUGAUAUUGACAGGAGAAUAAUUAUGUAGUUUAGACUAUUCAGUCCUGAUCUCUCAGACCACAAGAGUCCAAGAAAUUGUGGUCACCCACCGUUGAAUAUUAAUCCAAUGGUUCAAAAAAGUUUCUUAAAAUGAGUACAAGAGUGAGUGAACCGUUAAAUUUACAUCCAACGAUGAAUGACCAUAAAUCUCUUGGACCCCUGUAGUCCAAGAGAUCAGAACUGCUAGACUAUUAUCACCAACAUUAGGAUGUGUAUUGCACUAAUUGUGUUUUUUCUUCGUGAAAAAGCUCCAUUAAACGAGUUGACAAAACAUCUAUAAAAAGUGUUAGGCUCAACAUUAUGCUUAAAGCAAAGGCCACCAAAAAAAAAAUAACGAAGUAGGAGUCCAACAAACACGCAUAUGUCCAUUUGGGCUUUAUCGAUUCAAAUACGCGGAGCGGGUAACCGCGAACCCGAACCCGCUUCGCAUAAGAAACAGAUAGGGACAAUGACGAGCCGACAAGUGUCACCACCGUAGAAGGCGGGGAGAGAUUCCUCAGUGCGGCGCUUCAACUUAAGUCUACGCCCUCUGCCAAACAAAAAAGAAUACAAAAAGAAAAAACAUAGAAUUACGCGUUAUUUGCCAAGCAAUUCUAUCAACAAUCAAACUGUAGCCCUCAAGCAACUUUGUGCUCUCAGAAAUUUUUUUUUUUUUUUUGUGGUAAUUUUUUUUCGCAUAGUAUAUCUAUCGUAUCGACCGACCAAACACCUCCUCCUCUACCUCUACGCCUACCUUUUAUUUUUUCCUUACCUCUCUGUCUCUUGGAAACCAAAAACUCAAUUAGCUCUCUCCGCUCUCAAAUGGCUACCUCAGCUGCCGGCGCCGAUGAUGGUCGUAACAAGACGGUGACCGGCUACCCAGUUGAGCAGGGUCAAUUCGCAGCCGGCUACCCAGCCGCCGGAGCCUACCCCUACGUGGCCCCACCGCCGCCUCCUCACGCCAACACUUACCGGCCCAUGGGCCCACCUCCUUACUACGCCCCUCGGCCCACUGGGCCCAUCACGCCCAAUAGGCCCACCCUCCUCUGCCGCCUCCUCAUUGCCGCCAUCGCCGUCUUCGCCAUCAUGUCCCUCGUCUUCUUCAUCGCCUGGCUUGCACUCCGCCCCCGCCUCCCCGAGUUCCGGGUCGAAUCGGCCUCCGUCUUCCCGCUCAACGCCACUGGCUCCGAGCUCACCGCCACCUGGGACCUCACCCUCCUUGCCAACAACCCCAACCACAAGCUCAGAAUUUACUACGACAGCAUCCAGGCCUCACUAUUCUACGGCGACGAUUACCGGCUCGCCACGACGUCGUUGCCUCCCUUUGUUUUGACCAAGAGGAACCAGACGCGUGUCGGGUUCAAGCUGGCGACGGUGGGGGAGUACGUCGGCAAUUACGUGGCCAAGGGGAUCUCCGACGAGAGGGAUCGUGGGUCGGUGAGGUUCGGGCUAGGAGUUUUUGCUUCGGUUCGGUUUAGGUCUGGAGUGUUCCAGUCGAGGCCUCGCGUGUUGCGGGUCUUCUGCGAAAGGGUCGAUUUCGGGUUUGCCCAGAAGAAUGGGACGGGGACUUUGACGGGUCAGUCAAGUCCGUGUGUGGUUGACGUGUGACUGUGAGUAUAAUUAGUCCAUUGGAUUAACACAAAUUGGUAAAUGCUAUAUUUAGUCGUUGUUCAUGAUUUUGGGUUAUGGAAUAUAAUUCGUGAUCUUCUGAAUCCAAUUUCUCUCUGUUCUUUUAUGCUAGCUAAUGAUAGUAUAUUUUUUUUCAAUUAUUUUAUUAUGAUUUCUACUAGUUUUCUUUGUUUUGGAGGUAAAUACCAUUUUCCCCGUUUUGCAUAUGCUAAUUGGCAUUUGAAGUGUUGAGAUGGGUUAGAUGAUAAUAUGGGACAUUGCCACAUUAGGUUUUGUAUUUGUGUUAGAAUAAAGAGCAAUGUGAUUGUUUUUAGUGUUCUGGGGCUUUGUCAUUGUGAUUCAAACUCCAGAGCCAGAGACUGUAGGGUAUUGAGUGUUGCUUGGUGAAGCUUUAAUCGAGUGUUGACUCAUUUGGUAGAGAUGCAUAAAUGCAUUCUGAAUGGAUUAUAGGGUUUUCCCUCCACCCUUGAAUGCCACUUACCACACAGUCACAAGGAAAAAAGUAAGUGCGCACCAACCGUAGUUGUCUCCAAGCAUAACAUUUGAAGAAACUCAUCCCUAUUGUUUGUUAAUGAUAUCAAACCAUUGUUCGUGCCUUCAAAGAUUAUGCGCUUGAGAAGAAUGGUAAAGACUUUAUUUAAGCAUUGGAUUUGUGGUAGUGGCUACUAAGCCUCUCUGUUAGGAUGUCUGUUUUAUUGUGCUUAAUGCUGGUUGUAAGUCUAGGGUUGUGAUUCAAGCUGUUGUCUUGUGAUUCAAGUCAAUAGUAUUGGAACAGUACAAGAUUUUCCUGGGGAAGGGGAGCUUGGUCUACUAGGAACUAGCAAGUAGUGUGAUUUUACCUAUGUAUUGAGAAAUUGUUUAUUGUUUUGCUCUCGAAGAAUUAAAACGAAUCUCUCUACUUACUUCAUCAUCGUAGAGAUCAAUUCUUUUUAUAGGAGUUUGGUGUUAUUUGUUCUCUCUCUCUCUCUCCGCCCAUAGGAUAACAUCAUAAUGUUUAUCUUUUCAGACUCUGAAUUUGUGCUCAUGUAAAUGUGGUGUUGAAUGUUUGCUUGUAAUGGUCGAAUUGUGCUUUAGGCACUACUGUACGAGUAACGAUUAAGAGGAGUGGCUAGGUAAAGACUGUAGUUGCAGUUAAUUUGACUUCCAAACCAUUUCUACUACAAUGUUAAGUUUCAUAGUAGGUUAUGAUUUGGGUUCAGUUGAUAUAUGAUAAUAAUAGAACUGUUGUCAAAUGUAAAGUCAUUCUCUUUCUGAUUUUGUAGCUGUUGUCAAAUGUAAAGUCAUUCUCUUUCUGAUUUUGUAUUUACUCCUUUCCUGGCUGCUUUCCAUUUAGGUUUUUUCCUUUGAAACUCAGCUGCAUGUCUUCUUGUAGGAGAAAAAACACCAAACUUUUGUUCUGGCAACAUUUUAAUUACGUCAUACUGUAUUGCAUGUUUUCUGCUCCAUUUUAACUGUGUCAAUAUGCUGUUAAGUUGGCCAAACAGGGAACUUUUUAUGUUUGCUCUGUACUACUACGUCAAAGCUUGCCUGUAUUAGCUUUCACACUUUCAGUAUAGUUCUGAGCUGAUGUAGUUGCAUUGUUAUUGUUGAAGUUUUGAUUUUGAAAAAUUCAGAAUUUUGGGCUCAGAAGCCAUGCGAGGUUGGAGAUUAGAAAAGGGGCAUUGCUCGUCUUGCCCAAUGCGUUGAUGUUACUUGUUUUUAAUACUUAAGAGAAGCAAUUAUGUGCUUCUGAAGUCUCUUAUCAUACUUGAAUUUUAGUACUGGUUUUAAACUAUUAAUCUAGUGAUGCCAAACACUGUCCUUUUGUCCUUGAUGCUGAAGUGGUUUUAGUUUUACUUUGAUUUUGAUGAUUUCAUUUCUGAUGUUUAUAGGUGUUAGAGGUUAAUGUGUGUUGAGAUUGUUUUUCUGCUCUUUUAUUUUCUGUUUGUGGUUGAAACUUGAAACAUAGAAUCAGUUUCCAAAAAAUUGAAUUCAGUAUUUCAGGUUGGUACUGUAGUUCCUAUGAUUGGUGACAUAGUUGUAGCUCAACAGGUAGUUCAUAUUUUCCUAAUUUUAAAAGAACUUUUUAUUUUAAAGGUCCUUUUAGUGACAUUUUUGUUUUUUACUUUUAAGCUUUUCUUUAACGAGGUAGAGGGGGAGAGGUGGACGGUUCUUAGGAGAAAGGUGAGGGAAAAAGGAGAGAAAAAAUACUUCAAAAGUUCUAAAAAGUAAAAAAGCAAUUUAAAUGGCUUUUAGCCUGUUACUUUUAAUUCUCUCUACUUCUCCUGUCUUGUUCAUCUCUUUCAUCUCCUCCAUCACUUUAAUUUUCUAUAAAAGCUGUUAUCAGGGAUGCCUUCACUCCGCGUUUUUCUUUUGCUGGCAUUUAUGUAGUAGGCUUCAUCUAUUAAAGAGUUAUGAUUAAUCAAGGCAUGAGGCAUCAGUUUCAGUUAGGCGAAAUUAGGUUUUCAACGAAGAAAUAAAGCCUUACAAGUUCCUCGUCAUUACUUGCAUGUACUUUGCUUUUGAACUAUUCCAUCAUCAGUUCAACAAUUGAUUGAUGUGUAGAAUUUGGUCUUGGGUGUAUUGACUUGAGAUAGGUUGAAGAUGUAUUUAGUUGGUCCAUGCUUAGAGCUCUGAUUUGCUGGCUGAAAUGGUUUAACUUUUGGAAAUUUUCCUCUCUAUUUCACCGGUUGUACAGAAUCAUGUGUCUAUUAUGACGUGACACCUUAACGACCCUAAACUCGGACUAGAAAGAGUUCAAUCCCUCCCUCCUAUAUAUAAGUAUUAGCAAUUGUAUAGGUAUCUUUGGUUCCACCGCUUGUUUAAGUAAGGAGGCAGUGGGAUGAAGUGGUUGCUUGGCCGACAGAGCUUUCUGGGGUGGCCUAAAUAACUUUAUGAAAGCCUAUAUAUUAUGCAGAUAGCAUUGGCAAUGGAAUUAUUUAUAAACUAAUAACACUUUGAUUAUAUCUUAUAAACAUGAUAAGAUUCUCAGACACGAUAAUAGUGUACAUAUUUGUAUAUCUCCAGUUGGACAUGAUUAGGACGCUAGUGGAUUGAGAGAGAUUGACAUUGAUUUUUAGUGCAUGUAAAAGUAAUUGUGUAAAUAUCUGGGAUGUUUCUUCUUUUUUUUCUUUUUCUUUUUUUCUGUUUUCUUAUGGGCCCGUGAAGAAACAGCAUUGGAAUGAAAAUUCUGUGUCCAAAUUAGGAACGCGUGAGGGAUGAGACAUGGUUGCCCUUUGUCAUUUUCUACUGCUGAUUAGGACAAUCAGAAUGUGGAGGGAGCUAUUUGAUUGAUGAUUGAACAUAAGAAACUAAUCAAAUUAUCUGUUGUGAAGUUUAAUAAAAGAAGAGACACAAAUCUACAAGUCUCACGCAAUGAAAGCUAAAUCCAGAUUUAUUUUUGUAAGAAAACAAAGUCGUCCUACUAGCAAUUGACUGAUUUCACUUGACCAAAAGGUUGGGAUAGCAAUUUUUCCCGUCACACCCAAUCUCCACAUUGAUCUGUCCCGAAUGGGAUGGGGAUUGAGGCUUCUGCCCUUUCUCCAUCCCAUUCCGUUUUACAACUAUCAUGUUAAAGAAUGAUAAUUGUUUUGUUGACUCUUAAAUUUAAGCUUUUAUGAAUGGGAUGUGGAAUUCGAAUCUCAAUGAAGAAGACGAUAUCCAAUAGGGUUUGAGGCGGGAUUGUGGAUAUUUAACUUUUAUGGGGAUGGGGAUGAGUGUGAAAUAAUUGUUUCUUCGAGUAAAUUUUGUUAGGGGUAUAACUUACCACGAAGCUACAAACCCAACAUUAUUGCAUAUGUUUCUUCCUUUGCAGGCGAAAUAGUCCUCUGGGAGGGUGCAAAGGAUAGGAAGCUUCUCACUGGCCAUGUGACGGCAUGUGGAAAAUACGUAACAAAAGGCUUUACUUGGUGGCGUUUACACCUACGCCAUUAUUAUUAUUAGGCACCAUUUUAUAUUUAUAUUCAAAACUCAAAGCAGUGCAUGAACUGAUGCAAAAAAACAAAAACAAAAAAGAUUUAGGGGCUUUUAAGAUAUUUCCAUGUUGAGUCGGUUAGCUUGGCAAGUCAGUUUGAUCUUAAGGCUUUUCAUAAUUCAUUCAUAAUGUAGGAAAACACUUAAAAGGAAAGUGAUUGCUUGCAUAAUUACUUAUGAUAAUUUUGAUCUCCAUUUAAAGGAAAGUGCUUGGAUGAUCCCCUUUUUUUUUUCUUCUCAAAACUUGCUUUCAAAGUUCAUUUUCCAUCAUAUUUCAACUCCUUUUCUUCAAGAUACUUCUACCAUCAUACAUCAUAGAUGCAUCCAAAUGACUAUCUAGGGUUCAUUGGCUCAUCAUCACCCACUAUUAGUUUCACUUUUUUAUUAAUAGGGUGAUCAAUUACCCUUCAAACCAAUUCAAGACAGCUUAAUCAACCCAAUUAGAUAGUCAUCAUUUUGUGUCACCAAGAAUAUUAUCCCUUUCUUUCACCUCCAUGUCUUUUCUUCCCCAUUUUUCUUCUCAUUGUUUUUGGAACUCUCCCCUUCUUAGAAUGACCCACCAAUCAAAGGGUUUCUUUCUUCUCUCUCCCCCAAUGCUUUAUUCCACCAACUUUUUGUUUUUGUCUCUUUCAUUAACCCAUGGUUAACAGAAAGAAGCAUAGCCACAGAUUCUAGUCAGAUUUUAGCAGCAAAGCGCAUGAAGACAACAAACGAAUCCAUUGGGUGCAAGUUGCAUAGAACAAUUUUGGCUUUGGGCAUUCAUAUUAACCACAAAGGUUAGGUUAAAAGUUAAUUGUGAUUUACUUAACAGAGAUUUAAACAGGAAAUUGGGAUUUGGUGGUUUCAAAGAAGAUCUUGUAGGGACAUUUGUAAUUCCCAAAGUAGGGAUAAAGAAUCAGCAUGGAUGUCAGUGCAAGUGCAGAAGAGAAUACCUUUGUGUGUGUAGAAUCUAGUAGGCAUUGGCCACAAACCACCCCACCCUUCUUUAUGGACAUUUGGGGAUAUCCUUGGCUUCUUUUUGCGGCUUCCAUGUUUUGUAAAAGUGCUUUUACCCAAGGCAUUUUCUUCUUGUUUUUAUGAGAAAAUUGAGAGAAUCAGCAGCAAAGAAUUUGGUAAAGGGCCCUCUGCAUUCUCUGGAAACUGCACUAAGUGUACUUGGUUUCUUUGGCCACAGUACAUAAGAGAUGCAACAAGAGGAAAAGAAAACAAUCAAAUAAGUUCUACAGCACCAAGUACCAAAUAAUUGAACUCCAACAUGUCUAUGAGUAAGGCUCCAAUGAUUCAAAUUUUGGGUUUGGUCGUACCCAAAUAGUAAUAUUCUAAAGGAAAAUGCAACUAAGAUCAAAUAUUUCGAGCCGCUUCCGUGAAAAAUUCAAACUUUCUUUUUUAAUACUUCAAUCACAUAAAAAUAUAAACUUUGAGAUUCAAUAGCUAAAUACAUGGCAAUUGAAUCAUGAGCCGAGAUCAUAAAGAGCAUACAAGUAUACAAAGUGGAUGUCAUUGUAGGUGUCAAAUGAGUGAAGAAGAAGAAAAGAGUCAUGUGCUUUUAGGUGUGCCAACUAAUAUUAUCUUUCCAUGGUUUGAUCUCAAGUCUCAUAUCUGGAUGUGGUUUUCUUCUCUUUGGAUUUAUAUAUGACAAUAUAUAUAUAUAUAUAUAUUUAUAUUUAUAUAUAUUUUAAAAAAACAUUUAAAACACCCAAAUUUAUACACCAGUCAUAUUUUAUACUGUAUUUCUUUUUUCUAAUAUUAUAACACUUAAAGAAAACCCAAGUAAAUGACAAAUAGUGUAUCAUAUCCACCCACCAUCUAAUAAUGCUAAAUUAGUAGAAAGUUAAGUCUUUUUUUAGCAGUGUUUCUUUCAUUUGAUCCAAGACUUUUCUACAAGAGGCCUAUGUCAGAAUUAGUUAUUUGAUUUCAUAAGACUCUGCCAGAAUUUGACUCAGCAACAACCAAUUUCUAACCAUGUGUCUUCAAGCCAAGAAAUAAGACAAAGUAGGCCCUUCUGAAGAUUUCAACUUUUGUGAAUUGCUUAACUUUGAGCAAAUUGAUGGUGCAUAGAAGAAAUUUGAUUCCCUAUAUUUUUUUCUUCUCACUUGCUAAUAUCCAGUCAUUCGGUUGCAAACGACAAUGACUUUCAUUAAAUGAAAAUUGUUUCAUAGGAAAACAUCCAAAUGGUUAAGAACUUAAAGAAAGUUGAUGUUUGAAGUAUAUUUUAGAGAGGGGAUAAGGAGAACAACACUUUCAGAAACAAUGAAGGAAGAGAAAAUUUUAUAUAUUGAUUAAGAUUAUCGACCUGAUAACGAGAGAUUCACCUUAAUCAGCGACUCAUUGUCCGUACACAUAUCAAUAAUUUUCAUGUAACGUAAUCUUGUUCGGCAAGCUUCUAUCACCAUUUGAGAGAGAGAGAGAGAAAAAAAAUUGUAUAAAAUUAAGAGGUAGAUAAAAAUUGGUCAUAGGUUUGGUCAUUGGUGGUUGAGGAGACUUUUAGAGCUCGAUGUCGAUACUAAAUGUGUGAAAAAACACAUCAUGGUCUUGUAGUUCAUAUUCACACUUGCCAACCGACAUAAUCAAUUUCUAGUUUCUACCAUCAAUAAUGUAUUGGAGUGUAGUUUGGUUUGGUGCUUUUAACUAAAAUUAGUACAUGUAUUGAAAUUAUUGCUCUCUUUUUUUGUUGCCCACGUACCCUUUUACCAUCUGCUGGGAAAGUGCAGUGCAGCUAACCCUACUUUUCCUUGAUUAAAAAAUUAUUUUUAUAAAAUAAAUAAAUAAAUAAAAAAACCGUUCUCAAUGUUGUUUUCUAAGUAACAUUUUAGGAUUUUUAAAAAGCAAAACAAAAUAAUUAAAGAAACAAAACUGAUGAAAGAAAGGCUAACAAUUUUCUUUCUGGGAAAGCAAUGGGUUCUUUAUGAAAAAGGGUUUAAGCUUUUAAUCCACCCAAACAAAGUCUUUGUUUCUAAUUCAUCAGAGGUUAUGAAAUUUUCAAUACAUCCACAUCCAAAUCAUGUUUUUUUUUUUCCUUUUUUUUUUCUUUUUUUUUUUCCUUCUAUGUUGCAUCAUUGUUAGGCUUUAGGCUUUAGGCUUUAGCUGGUGGGAGAAGUAAUAUUUUGGAACCCAGAGGUUUCCUCUGUCAUGAUAAGUGGGGCCAAGUGGGUGCAAGAGACGUGUCAAUUAGACUUUUCCCAUGUAUCCAUAUUCAAUCGGACGGUGGUGAAGAGUCUUGCUUUUCCAAACACUUUAUUGAAGUCACAAUCGGCCCAUUCACAUUCUAAAUUCUAGUAUAGAAAGAAAUUUUAAAAAAUAUGUUAUUUUCUUUAGGCUUUUUGUCUUUCUGAGUUGAUUAAGAAAAAGCAGUGAGCUUCACUUUUUGACUAAGCGAGCACAACACAACUGAGGGUCAUGGAUUAAUACAAUCGUACUCAUUAAAACUCAUUUAUAUUGUUUUUUUAUAUAAAUGAUAUUCUAUUUUAAUUUAUUUUAAACUACAUAGAGGGGUAUUCAAACUCGGAUGUAAACACUGAAAUUCACUUACAUUAACAAUGAAGAUCGAUGGCAGACAAUAUUAAUGAUAUUUUAUUACAUAUAUAACUAUAUAUCUUGAAGCUAAUGCCAAUAGCGUAUUACUUGGAUCUGGUUUUGAAAAGAAUUAGGGUUUGAGCAACAAGAUCUUUCUUAGUGACUUGAGCCUCUAUAGUUUAUUGAAUGGACUUUAAUUUUGAUUAGUUGUAAAAUAAAGAAGAUUAAUAACUUGUUUUGAAACACUGAAACACAUGAGGUUUUUGAGGAGAAUUAUGAAGAAAAGAUAUGAACCAACCAUUGAGAUAACAUGUGGGUGAGCUCGACAAACAAUUUGAAAUCCUGUUUGUUGAAUAAAGCCAAGCAUAGAAAACGAUUGGUCUUAACCCAUCACACCAUAUGGGCAUCUUAACUAGGACACAUCAUGCAGUGAACAAAAACCCAACAAAUUUCAUCUAAGUUAUUUAGAUCAAAUCAUAUAAAUAAUAAACCCAAUUAGUAGCUAUAAUUGAUGAGCCUUGUCAAGUGACACAUGAUGACAUAAGGUAUUUGUGUAAUUUAAUUGGUUAAUGCCCAUGGUUAUGAUUGAGUAAUAAGAAAAACCAAACAAUGCCUUGGUACUGAAAAUUGAUGGGUCACCAAUUUCCACUACCUUGCUACACUACCACCAAACAACUCAAAAGCAACCAAAAAGUUCUUUAAAAAAUAAAAGUUAUUGGUUAGUGCUGGUUAACGAUUUAUAAUAUUUGGUUCAUUGUCGAUUAUUUGAUUGUUAUUAUAAAUAUUAACUUUAAUAGACAGUUACUCAUAUAAAAAAUAGAAAUUCAGAGUAAUUUUGGAAUGAGACCGUAAUCUAAUAUUAAACAUUUUUUUUACGCGAAUAAAAAACUAAUUUUCCUCAUAAUUAGUGAAAGUACUUUGAAAUGUCCCUAAACACAUUACACCUACUUUAGCAUACUUGCUUUUCCACCAUACAUACAUGAUCACAUAGAUCAUCAUCAUCUUCAUUAAAAACCAUGUAAUAUAUAUACCCCCACACACAUCCCCAACCAAAGCUCAUUUACUAAAGGGUCAACUCUCAAACCCAACUCUAACUCAACUCCAACCGUCCUUCCUCUCUCUCUCUCAGUCUCCCUCUCCACCUCCACCGCAAACUACCGCGGCCGCCGCCAUGUCGUACAAGGACUGCGGCCAACACGGAUACAACAAGCGGCGAAGGAGGUUUAAACGCUGCUGCGCCGGGCUCCUAAUCUUCAACUUCAUCCUGCUCGUCACCAUCCUCAUCGUGUGGGCCAUCCUCCAGCCCUCCAAACCCCGCUUCAUCCUCCAAGACGUCACCGUCUUCAACUUCAACAACUCCGUACCCAACGUCUUCUCCUCCAGCUUCCAGGUCACCGUCUCCUCCCGCAACCCCAACGACAAGAUCGGCAUCUACUACGACAGGCUCAACAUCUACGCGACAUACCGUAAUCAGCAGAUCACCUUCUCCACGCUCAUCCCGCCGGUGUACCAGGGUCACAAGGACGUCAACGU
RNAcentral lists this long non-coding RNA (20360 nucleotides) under Prunus persica (peach). Its description in RNAcentral is "long non-coding RNA (PPER_LNC007341)". Lineage: Eukaryota; Viridiplantae; Streptophyta; Magnoliopsida; Rosales; Rosaceae. The record is from RNAcentral.